RNAcentral lists this ribosomal RNA (587 nucleotides) under uncultured Actinomycetes bacterium. RNAcentral's name for it is "bacterial SSU rRNA". It matches the Rfam family "Bacterial small subunit ribosomal RNA", at positions 224 to 823 of the family's 1533-position model. Lineage: Bacteria; Bacillati; Actinomycetota; Actinomycetes. The record is from RNAcentral.
GAUGGGCUCGCGGCCUAUCAGCUUGUUAGUGGGGUAAUGGCCUACCAAGGCGACGACGGGUAGCCGGCCUGAGAGGGCGACCGGCCACACUGGGACUGAGACACGGCCCAGACUCCUACGGGAGGCAGCAGUGGGGAAUAUUGCGCAAUGGGCGAAAGCCUGACGCAGCGACGCCGCGUGAGGGAUGAAGGCCUUCGGGUUGUAAACCUCUUUCAGCGCCGAAGAAGCGAAAGUGACGGUAGGCGCAGAAGAAGCACCGGCUAACUACGUGCCAGCAGCCGCGGUAAUACGUAGGGUGCAAGCGUUGUCCGGAAUUAUUGGGCGUAAAGAGCUCGUAGGCGGUUUGUCGCGUCUGCUGUGAAAACUCGGGGCUUAACCCCGGGCCUGCAGUGGGUACGGGCAGACUAGAGUGCGGUAGGGGAGACUGGAAUUCCUGGUGUAGCGGUGAAAUGCGCAGAUAUCAGGAGGAACACCGGUGGCGAAGGCGGGUCUCUGGGCCGUAACUGACGCUGAGGAGCGAAAGCGUGGGGAGCGAACAGGAUUAGAUACCCUGGUAGUCCACGCCGUAAACGAUGGAUGCUAGCCGU